AUACGGAGGAUGCGAGCGUUGUCCGGAAUUACUGGGCGUAAAGAGCUCGUAGGUGGUUUGUCGCGUCGUCUGUGAAAUUCCGGGGCUUAACUCCGGGCGUGCAGGCGAUACGGGCAUAACUUGAGUACUGUAGGGGAGACUGGAAUUCCUGGUGUAGCGGUGAAAUGCGCAGAUAUCAGGAGGAACACCGGUGGCGAAGGCGGGUCUCUGGGCAGUAACGGACGCUGAGGAGCGAAAGCAUGGGUAGCGAACAGGAUUAGAUACCCUGGUAGUCCAUGCCGUAAACGGUGGGCGCUAGGUGUAGGGGUCUUCCACGACUUCUGUGCCGUAGCUAACGCAUUAAGCGCCCCGCCUGGGGAGUACGGCCGCAAGGCUAAAACUCAAAUGAAUUGACGGGG
Molecule: ribosomal RNA, 398 nt
Filed under: uncultured bacterium
Lineage: Bacteria
Description: partial 16S ribosomal RNA
Rfam family: Bacterial small subunit ribosomal RNA
Source: RNAcentral